UUUAUCCAGUAAGAAGCAGUUCUGUACGCCCAUAGUACUGUCAUAAAGCUUUCCUCUGGAAGCCAUUCCCAUUUGACCUCAAUAAGCCUAUGGAAAGCAGUUUCUUCAAUAUAUCCUUGAAGGCUAACACCAGGAACUAAUUUUGGUAAUAAAUAUCUUAAAUGGUAACUAUUUCCCAGCCUUGCUUCCUGCAGAAGAUUUCAGUGAGAAAUGGUUACAGAAUCAAGUACAUCCUCUGUUCUUAUGAGUACCAACACCCAUUUUACCCUGUAUGCAAAUCACAGCCUCUGUUCAAUGUGGUAAAGUGUUCUUCACUCUCUUCAGUCACACUUGCUUCUCUAAAGAAAUUUUUAUAAAUCUUUUCUAUUUUAGUCACAUGCUUAUAGUUUGUUCAGAAUUCAGUGGUGCUCAUGUCAUAGUACACAAAAUAUUGUGUGAAAGUUCUCUGCAAUACAGUCUGUUCCUUUUAAAGUAUCUGCCAUAAUGUUUCAUUAUAGAUGCUGUCAAAACUAAAUUAGACAAUAUACUGUUUGAUAAAACAUCUUAUUUCAAAAUAUACCAAGAAUAUGCAGCUAAAGCCAAUAUAAAUGUGUCUUGAGGAAGCAGCAUUUUCCCCUCGUGAUAAGAAGGAGAAAAUGUUUUGAUAUAUUUCUGGCAAUGAAUUCUGAAAUCCAGGCCAUGAGUGCUAAAGAGCUUGUCAGUUUGGGAGCUAAUCCAUAUGCCAAGGAUACAUUAAACAAACAUGUAGCUACUUAUUUCAGAGAAUGACCAGAUAUGAAUAAAACUUUCACAAGGAAAUCAAGCCCAACUACUGGUAAGUGUAAGGUGGAAUAUUAAAUCGCUUUUGACAAGGUAGAAAAGCAGACAGGGUCAUAAUGUAACUGUAGUAUAAUAUACAUGAUUAACUUACUGCGGACCCAUUCCCUGGCAGCAGGAUUUUACACAUGCUGUAUGGUAGAAAUAAAUAAUCACUGAGAGAAAACAUGUAACUCAAAGUGCAGAGGCAUGCAUAAAUAAUAAUUUUUUAAAAAGUCCAGGAAAAGUGAACAAGCAGUUAUUUCAUUUUCUAAUCACAGGCCUUGGCAGUGGGCUCUACAACAGAGUAUUUUCUUUCCACUUAAAGCCAUAGCCUAUCUUCUCUGUUGGAAAAGAAGUAGAGGAGCUCAACUAUCUCGAAAUAUACUGUUCAACAACAACUUUUUUUUCCUCUGCAUGAUGAUAUAUUUAUUUGAUCCUUUACUAGAAUGAUAGGUACAGCUCUCCUUCCUAAAUUCUUAGAUCAGACUGAAUUCUUCACUUCUACCUGUGGAUGAUACAGUCUUUUAACAUAUCUGAAGCUCAGAUGAUCAAAGGGUGAGGGGAAAGUAAGUUUUUCCAGUAGUUGCUUUCAGUUUUCUCAUGCAUAGCUAAAUCAGUGCAUUGAGAAGUAAUACUCUAUAGGGAUGGAUGCAGAAUUAGCCCCUGCAGUCUCACCAGAGCUUAAUGGGUGAUCUGAUGCUAACAGCAUCAGUUUCUGCCAUCUGUUCAUAAGGGCACCGCUGCCUGUUCAGUGAGCCCCUUCCUUAGUCAUGCUAGAAGGAAUUUGGAUGACUAAAACUGAAGUCUGAAUACCCCCAUCCAGCAAAACCAUCAGAGUAGUAAAUAACUGAAGAUACGGGGGAAAAAAAAAGCAAAAAUUAGAGAAAAACAAAUUAUUUAAAUAAAUACAGGUCUAGUUGCAUUUUCUCAGCUCUUUAGAUUUAAAGAGCUACAUGCCAAGUACUGUGAUAAAGAAACUGUAUUUACUCAUUACAAACAAGUUUUCCAAUAAACUUACCCUUUUUUGUAUAAAACCCAUUCUGCUUCCACAAACAUGUUGUUUUAUUACAUAAGUAGUCCAAGCAAUAGCUUUGUUUAUAUAAAUAGUUUGAAGAAGUAUAUUACAACUUGUAGUACAUUUUUAACUGUGUUUCAUGUCUUGUUCUAAUUUGUCAUAUGUGUUUUGUUGUUAUUAGGCCUGAUGCCUAUUAAAAUGUGGGAAAAUAAAUACCAAGCAAUAUGGAAGAACUAGUGAUAAAACUAAGAAAAGUACAAGUUUAUGCUUGUAUAAGAGUGCACUUACUUAUAUAAAAACCUAUUCAGGGGAAAAAAAGUGUAUAAAACUGAAAACAUAGUUGUUUAAAUAUUUAUUUUGAAAGCAUAAUAUGGUUGAGAAAAAGUUCUUCUAAAUUCAGUGAAAUACUUGUACUCACUGUUGCAGUAUUUGCCCAGGUACAAUUUUGUAGAAAUGCAUUUCAGGAGACUCCUGCAGGGUAUUAGACACAGACAUAAAGCAAAGAUAAGGAUUAAAGCUAAUCAAAAGCUAAGCAUAACAAAAAUCAGGAAUAUUUAGACAGAUUUUUAAUUAUCUAUCUGUUUAAACAUGAAUUCCCUGAAGAACAGUCAGCAGUAAAGACGUCUCUGAGAAAUGUGUCUAUAGGAAGAAAAGGCUUUUUACUCUAAAAGUGUUUAUUUGGAUGUUCUAAUUAGCCAUUUAAGCAUACUUUAGUUUGAAAACAGACACAAAUUAUAUUGUUAUCAAUGAGAACAUGCCUUUUAAACAGUGACCGUCAUUGUUUCCAUUUACUCUUUUCUAAUUAAAGUCUGGGGAAACAUCUAUUGUAGACCUGCUGCUGGCCAAAGCUGAGACCAUCAGCAAUAGUGGCAGAGCCUUGCAGGGAAAACAUCCAUGAGAAAGGAUAAGAAAAACAUUGCGCAUCAGUUGUGGAGAGAAGUGUGAGAAAAAUGCAAGAGAAAUAACUGCAGGCUCCCAAGUCAGUGAAGAGGAAGAGGAUGAAGCACUCCAGGCACCAGAGUAGACAUUCCCCUGUAGCCUGUGGAGGAACCCACACCAGAGCAUGUGGACCUGCCCUCAUGGAAGCUGCAGAUUAUGGAGAGACCAUGUAGGAGCAGGCUCUUGGCAAGAGCUGUAGUCUGUGGAGAGGAGACCAUAUGGAGAAGGUUUUCUGAUGGGGAAUCUGGGCAUAUGGACCUAUGCUAGAGCAGUUCAUGAAGAACUGAGCCACAUGGGAAGAACAUACGAUGAUGCAGUUUGUGAAGGACUGUAUCCAGUAGGAAGGAGUCCAUGCUGGAGCAGGGGGAGAGUGUAAGGAGGAAGAAGCAGCACAGACAAAAAGUUAUGAACUGACCACAUCUCCCAGUCCCCAUAUUCCCUCUACUGCUAGUAGAGUGGGGAGGAGGUACAAGAUUUUGGAACAAAGGAGUGAAGUUGAGCCCAGGAAGAAAGCAUAGGAUAAUGGGAAAGUGCUUUUAGUUUUGUCUUUGUUUCUCUCUAUCCUACUUUAUUAUAUUUUUUUUUAAUUAGGAUUAAACUAAAUUAAUAUUCUGCUAGUCAAAUCUGGUCUGCCUCUGAUAGUGAUUGGUGAGUAACCUCCCUGUCCAUAUCUCAAACCACAUGCUUCUCCAUCCUAUUUUCAGCCACUGGCUUGCUGAGGGAGGGAGAGAGCACUUGGAUGGGCAUCUGACAGUCAGCCAAGGUCAGCCCACCACAGAAUUCAUAAUUUUGUCACAUCAGAUGAUUCCUUUCUCUCUCUUCCCAGCUCUGUUGUAUUAUCUGGCACAUGGUGUGGGUGGGUGGUAUUGAUUUUCUUCAUGUGCUAAUCCAAACUCUGACAGAGUCCUUUGAAGCUGAUGUGUCUUCCAUGUUAUGAUCCUAAGCCACUGAGGCUGUAUGGUUUGACAUGGGGAAAGAUUCACAUAAACUCUUCCAAAUUGAAAGUUUAUUUCUCAUUAGCGAGCAAGAUUUUUUUCAAGAUUGAGUUCCAUGUUUAAUAUUUACAUCCAGCUAAUGCAGAUUUAUCUGCAAAUAAUCACCCAAGACAUUGCACAUUCAUUUUCAGAGGGGUAUCAGUGAACUGCUAAUGUAGAUUUUCUGCAUAUAAAGUUGCAGAUUUUGCAGCUACCAGAGUUCACAUUUUAAAAUGUGGCCCUAUAAUGUAAAUUAUACAGUGUUAGCAUAUGCUUAAAUUUCAAAGCAAAAUUAUAUAUGUAAUAGCUAAGAUUCUAGAAAAUGACACAAGAUACGACAGUAUUUAAAAUAUAUGAGAAAGCACUGUUAAUAACAUAAAAGUUAACUCACAGUUUAGAGAAAAAUCCUGAUACAUCUUGUACGCAUGUAGGAUGGCAGACUGGAAUUUGCA
Long non-coding RNA from Empidonax traillii (willow flycatcher), 4178 nucleotides. RefSeq lists it as uncharacterized. Lineage: Eukaryota; Metazoa; Chordata; Aves; Passeriformes; Tyrannidae. The transcript is spliced from 3 exons. The record is from RefSeq and is a predicted model, not a curated record.